RNAcentral lists this transfer-messenger RNA (408 nucleotides) under Cryomorpha ignava. RNAcentral describes it as "Standard tmRNA". It matches the Rfam family "transfer-messenger RNA". From Rfam's summary of the family: Bacterial tmRNA, also known as 10Sa RNA or SsrA, is named for its dual tRNA and mRNA-like properties. Lineage: Bacteria; Pseudomonadati; Bacteroidota; Flavobacteriia; Flavobacteriales; Cryomorphaceae. The record is from Rfam by way of RNAcentral.
GGGGCCGACUGGUUUCGACAACAUGAAGUGGUUGUUUAGUAAGCGUGUCGAGCGUUGGAAGUAUUGCUCGUAAAUAUCAAUUUCCAAGCCUAUAAAUGGCGAAAACAAUUACGCUCUCGCAGCCUAAUUAGUCACAGACUAAAACAAGGCUUAAUUCUGGGUGAAGCACAGUAACCCGGAGCGAGUGCCCGGCAGCUUAUCUGUUCUUUAUAGGUUGCCAUACGGGUAUCAAACUUUAGAACUCAGGAGGUUAAGUGUCUUGAUUAACAUCCGAAAUUGAAUUAAGACUAAGCUUUAGGUAGGCUGUUCGAUGUCAGCUUAAAGUCGAAAAACAAUAUUGAACUACACACGUAGAAGGCUGGAUAGUCCCAUGCUUGCACGAGGGUUCGAAUCCCUCCGGCUCCACUU